Molecule: non-coding RNA, 111 nt
Filed under: Bacillus coahuilensis
Lineage: Bacteria; Bacillati; Bacillota; Bacilli; Caryophanales; Bacillaceae
Also listed under: 1 other name
Description: SAM-I sequence
Rfam family: SAM riboswitch aptamer (S box leader)
About the family: The SAM riboswitch is found upstream of a number of genes which code for proteins involved in methionine or cysteine biosynthesis in Gram-positive bacteria.
Source: RNAcentral
AGUUUAUCAAGAGUGAAGGAGAGAUCAGGCUCAAUGAAUUCACAGCAACCUGCAUGCUCAUACAUGCAAGGUGCUUCUACCUGCAAAGCAUUUAGCUUUGGGUGAUAAGAA